This 345-nucleotide ribosomal RNA is filed under the name uncultured bacterium. RNAcentral's name for it is "bacterial SSU rRNA". It matches the Rfam family "Bacterial small subunit ribosomal RNA", at positions 8 to 350 of the family's 1533-position model. The record is from RNAcentral.
AGAGUUUGAUCAUGGCUCAGGACGAACGCUGGCGGCGCGCCUAACACAUGCAAGUCGAACGGAGCUUAGAGAGCUUGCUUUUUAAGCUUAGUGGCGAACGGGUGAGUAACGCGUGAGUAACCUGCCUAGAGUGGGGACGAACAGUUGGAACGACUGCUAAUACCGCAUAAGCCCACGGUGCCGCAUGACACUGAGGGAAAAGGAUUUAUUCGCUUUAGGAUGGACUCGCGUCCAAUUAGCUAGUUGGUGAGGUAACGGCCACCAAGGCGACGAUUGGUAGCCGGACUGAGAGGUUGAACGGCCGACAUUGGGACUGAGACACGGCCCAGACUCCUACGGGAGGCA